RNAcentral lists this long non-coding RNA (2806 nucleotides) under Sus scrofa (pig). RNAcentral describes it as "lncRNA (ENSSSCG00035075079.1)". The record is from RNAcentral. Lineage: Eukaryota; Metazoa; Chordata; Mammalia; Artiodactyla; Suidae.
GAACUUUAUUAUAUUUAUAGUUGUACAAUGAUCAUCACAACCCAAUUUUGUAGCAUGUCCGUCCCCAAACCCCAGCCCAUCCACCAACCCCCCAAACUGUCUCAUUUGGAAAACAAGUUUUUCAAAGUCUGUGAGUCAGUAGUAUCUGCUCUGCAAAGAAGUUAGUCAUGUCCUUUUUUUAGAUUCUACAUGCAAGUGAUAGCAUAUGAUGUUGAUGUCUCACUGUCUGACUGAUUUCAGUUAGCAUGAUAGCUUCCAGGUCCAUCCAUAUUGCUGCACAUGAUGUCAAUUCUUUACUUUUAAUGGCUGAGUAAUAUUUCAUUGUGUACAUGUACCACAUCUUCUUUAUCCACCCUUCUGUCAAUGGACAUUUAUUUAGGUUGUUUCCAUGUCUUGGCUAUUGUAUAGAGUACUGCAGUGAACAUUGGAGUACAUAUAUCUUUUCGAGUAAUGGUUUUCUCUGGAUAGAUGCCCAGGAGUGGGAUUGCUGGAUCAAAUGGUAAUUCUAUUUUUAGUUUUCUGAGGAAUCUCCAUACUGUUUGUCACAGUGGUUGCACCAAAUUACAUUCCCACCAACAGUGUAAUAAGGUUCCCAGGCUAGGAGUCAAAUUAGAGCUACAACUGCCGGCCUGCGCCACAGCCACAGCAACACAGGAUCCGAGCCGUGUCUGCAGCCACAGCCAGAUCCUUAACCCACUGAGCAAGGCCAGGGAUCGAACCCGCAACCUCAUGGUUCCUAGUCAGAUUCAUUUCCACUGCACCAUGACAGGAACUCCACAAACCCCAAUUUUUUAAUGUACACUUUAUUUAUUAAAAUGUUAUUAGUAGACUUUUAAUGUUCUGUUAAUUUCAGGUAUACAGCAAAGUGAAUCAGUUAUUCAUAUAUCCAUUCCUUUUCAGAUUCUUUUCCCAUAGAUGUUAUUACAGAAUGUUGAGUAGAUUCCCCUGUGCUCUACAGUAGGUCCUUGUUAUUUAUUUUAUAUAGUAGUGUGUAUAUGUCAAUUCCAACCUCCUAAUUUACCCCUCCCUGUAACAUUUCCCCUUUGGUAAUCAUAAGUUUGGUUUUGAAAUCUUUGAGUCUGUUCUGUUUUUGUGAAUAAGUUUUUAUGUAUCAUUUUUUAUUAGCUUCUACAUGGUAGUGAUCUCAUGUGAUACUUGUCUUUAUCUGACUUUGCUUAGUAUGUUAAUUUCUAGGUCCAUUCAUGUUGUUGCAAAUGGCAUUAUUUCAUCUUUUUUGUGGCCGGUAAUAUUUUAUUGUAUAUAUGUACCACAUCCUCUUUAUCCAUUCCUCUCUUGAUGGACGCAGGUUGCUUCCAUGUCUUGGCUAAUGUAAAUAGUGCUGCAGUGAACAUUGGAAUGCACGUAUCUUUUCAAAUUAUGGUUUUCUCCAGAUAUAUGCCCAGCAGUGGGAUUGCUGGAUCACAUGGUAGUUAUAUAUUUAGGGUUUUUUUUUUUUUAAUUCAUGUGUUUGUUUUUUUAAGUUUUAUUGAGGUAUAGUUAAUUUACAAGUUUGUGAAAAUUUCUACUGUAUGACAAAGUGACCCAGUCAUGCACAUAUCCAUUCUCUCAGAUUCUUUUCCCACAUAGAUUAUCACAGAAUACUAGGUAGAGUUCUCUGUGCUAUACAGCAGAUCCCUGUUGGCCAGUCAUUCUGUAUACUUCCGUGUGCACAUGCCAGUCCUAAGCCUCCAGUCCAUUUCUCCCACCCCCGCAACCUGUCUCCUUUGGUAACCAUGAGUUGUUCAAGUCUGUGGGUCUGUUUCUGUUCUGCAAAUAAGUUCAUUUGUAUCCUUUUUUUAGAUUCCACAUAUAGGUGAGGUGAUGUUUGUUCUUCACUGUCUGACUAACUUCCCUUGAGUUUCUAGGUCCAUCCGUGUUGCUGCAAAUGGCAUUAUUUCAUUCUUUUUAUGCUGAAUAAUAUUCCAUUGUAUAUGUACCACAUCUUUAUCCAUUCCUCUGUCGAUGAACAUUUAGGUUGCUUCCAUGUCUUAGCUAUUGUAAACAGUGCUUCAAUGAACAUUUGGGUGCAUAUAUCUUUUUGAAUGAUGGUUUUCUCUGGAUAGAUGCCUAGGAGUGGGAUUGCUGGAUCAUAUGGUAGUUCUAUUUUUAGUUUUUUGAGGACCUCCAUACUGUUUUCCAUAGUAGUUGCACCAAUGUGCAUUCCCACCAACAGUGUAAAAAAAGAGAGAGGACUCAAAUCAAUUAAAUUAGAAAUGAAAAAGAAGUUACAGCAGACAUCACAGAAAUACAAAGGAUCAUAAGAGACUACUACAAGAAGCUAUAUGCUAAUAAAAAUGGACAACUUCGAAGAAAUGGACGAAUUUUUAGAAAGGUACAAUCUUCCAAGAAUAAACCAGGAAGAAAUAGAAAAGAUGCAUGGACCAAUCACAAGUACUGAAAUUGAAGCUGUGAUUAAAGAACUUCCAACAAACAAAAGUCCAGGACCAGAUGGCUUCACAGGCGAAUUCUAUCAAAAAUUUAGAGAAGAGUUAACACCUAUCCUGAAACUAUUCCAAAAAAUGGCAGAGGAAGGAACACUCUAUAUUUAGUUUUUUUUAAGGAAUCUCCAAACUGUUCUCCAUAGUUCCAAACCCCAGUUGUAAGUAAUGUGAGUGAUAUAGAAAUUGCGUUUCUUCUUAAAUCUUACCCUUCAGGGUGUUCCCUUGUGGCGCAGCAUGUUAAGGAUCUGGUGUUGUCGCUGCAGCAGCUCAGGAUGCUCUUGUGGCACAGGUUCAGUCCCUGGCCUGGGAACAUCUAUAUGCUAUGAGAACGGCAAAAAAAAAAAAAAAAAAAAAAAAAAAAAAAA